GACGAACGCUGGCGGCGUGCUUAACACAUGCAAGUCGAACGGAAAGGCCCUGCUUUUGUGGGGUGCUCGAGUGGCGAACGGGUGAGUAACACGUGAGUAACCUGCCCUUGACUUUGGGAUAACUUCAGGAAACUGGGGCUAAUACCGGAUAGGAGCUCCUGCUGCAUGGUGGGGGUUGGAAAGUUUCGGCGGUUGGGGAUGGACUCGCGGCUUAUCAGCUUGUUGGUGGGGUAGUGGCUUACCAAGGCUUUGACGGGUCGCCGGCCGGAGAGGGGGACCGGCCACCUUGGGCCUGCGGUACGGCCCAGACUCCUACGGGAGGCAGCAGUGGGGAACCUUGCACAAUGGGCGGAAGCCUGAUGCAGCAACGCCGCGUGCGGGAUGCCGGCUUUCGGGUUGUAAACCGCUUUCGCCUGUGACGAAGCGUGAGUGACGGUAAUGAGUAAAGAAGCACCGGCUAACUACGUG
This 468-nucleotide ribosomal RNA is filed under the name uncultured bacterium. RNAcentral describes it as "partial 16S ribosomal RNA". It matches the Rfam family "Bacterial small subunit ribosomal RNA", at positions 28 to 507 of the family's 1533-position model. The record is from RNAcentral.